Molecule: ribosomal RNA, 274 nt
Filed under: uncultured prokaryote
Description: partial 16S ribosomal RNA
Rfam family: Bacterial small subunit ribosomal RNA
Source: RNAcentral
UACGUAGGGGCAAGCGUUAUCCGGAUUUACUGGGUGUAAAGGGUGCGCAGGCGGGGGAUUAAGUCGGCGGUGAAAUUUUGCAGCUCAACUGUAAAAGUGCCUUCGAAACUGGUUUCCUUGAGUGUAGAUGAAGUAGGCGGAAUUUGUGGUGUAGCGGUGAAAUGCUUAGAUAUCACACAGAACACCGAUUGCGAAGGCAGCUUUCCAAACUAUCACUGACGCUGAGGCACGAAAGCGUGGGGAGCAAACAGGAUUAGAUACCCGCGUAGUCCCU